GUGGCUACGAGCUACACUCCCAACCCCUGUGACAUACCCAACGUUGCUUCGGCGGGACCGCCCCGGCGCCCUCGGCGUCCCGGAACCAGGCGCCCGCCGGAGGACCCAAACUCUUGUUUAAACCAUAGUGGCAUAUUCUGAGUCUCACAAGAAAAAUGAAUCAAAACUUUCAACAACGGAUCUCUUGGCUCUGGCAUCGAUGAAGAACGCAGCGAAAUGCGAUAAGUAAUGUGAAUUGCAGAAUUCAGUGAAUCAUCGAAUCUUUGAACGCACAUUGCGCCCGCCAGUAUUCUGGCGGGCAUGCCUGUUCGAGCGUCAUUUCAACCCUCAAGCCCCAGCCGGCUUGGUGUUGGGGACCGGCCCCGGCCGCCCCCCAAAUGCAGUGGCGACCUCGCCGCAGCCUCCCCUGCGUAGUAGCACAACCUCGCACCGGAGCGCGGAGACGGUCACGCCGUAAAACGCCCAACUUCUCAGAGUUGACCUCGGAUCAGGUAGGAAUACCCGCUGAACUUAAGCAUAUCAAUAAGCGGAGGAAC
RNAcentral lists this ribosomal RNA (536 nucleotides) under fungal sp. TZ-2015b. Its description in RNAcentral is "eukaryotic LSU rRNA". The stretch from base 165 to 318 matches the Rfam family "5.8S ribosomal RNA". The record is from RNAcentral. Lineage: Eukaryota; Fungi.